RNAcentral lists this ribosomal RNA (757 nucleotides) under uncultured bacterium. RNAcentral describes it as "bacterial SSU rRNA". It matches the Rfam family "Bacterial small subunit ribosomal RNA", at positions 28 to 776 of the family's 1533-position model. The record is from RNAcentral.
GAUGAGCGCUAGCUACAGGCUUAACACAUGCAAGUCGAGGGGCAGCAUGUCGGUUGCUUGCAACCGAUGACGGCGACCGGCGCACGGGUGAGUAACGCGUAUCCAACCUACCCUUGUCCAUCGGAUAACCCGUCGAAAGGCGGCCUAACACGAUAUGCGGUUCUCAGCAGGCAUCUAACGAGAACGAAAUGUGAAGGAGAAGGAUGGGGAUGCGUCUGAUUAGCUUGUUGGCGGGGUAACGGCCCACCAAGGCGACGAUCAGUAGGGGUUCUGAGAGGAAGGUCCCCCACAUUGGAACUGAGACACGGUCCAAACUCCUACGGGAGGCAGCAGUGAGGAAUAUUGGUCAAUGGACGGGAGUCUGAACCAGCCAAGUAGCGUGCAGGACGACGGCCCUAUGGGUUGUAAACUGCUUUUAUAGGGGGAUAAAGUGUGCCACGUGUGGCAUAUUGCAGGUACCCUAUGAAUAAGGACCGGCUAAUUCCGUGCCAGCAGCCGCGGUAAUACGGAAGGUCCGGGCGUUAUCCGGAUUUAUUGGGUUUAAAGGGAGCGUAGGCCGUCUUAUAAGCGUGUUGUGAAAUGUCGGGGCUCAACCUGGGCAUUGCAGCGCGAACUGUGAGACUUGAGUGCGUAGGAAGUAGGCGGAAUUCGUCGUGUAGCGGUGAAAUGCUUAGAUAUGACGAAGAACUCCGAUUGCGAAGGCAGCCUGCUGUAGCGCAACUGACGCUGAAGCUCGAAAGCGUGGGUAUCGAACAGG